GUCCAGGUGUCCCUGAACACCCCCGGACCACAAGAGGGAUCUCUUGGGGACUCAGAAGGGACGGAAGCUAAGGAAGGGGACGCCUGCGCGGGGGGCGGGGGAGCCCCGGGUAGCAGAUUCCGAUCUGCAGCCUGCACCAGAGCCUCCCUCACCGCCUCCUGCCCGGCCCUGCGCGCGCACCGCGCUCCCACGCACGCCACCCUUGCAAACGCACACACGCGCGCGCACACACCCGGACACACACCCACACACCGCACACAGCUCCAAGCCGCUCUGCUCGCCAGAUCUCAGGGCACUCGCUCCGCAGGGGAGCCCCUCCCAGCGCCCGGCGCCCGGCACUGCCUGGGGUCGAACAGCGCGGCUCUCGGGCCCGACAAGAGUGGGGACGGGAGCGGGACCGGGGAGCGGGGCGGUCGUUGUGGGGGGGGGAGCUGCGCGCCCCGCGCCUCCUUCAGCUGGCUCUCCCCCCACCCCCUCCGCCGGCGUCCGCAGCUCGCGUGCGGAGGGGUCACCCGCUGUGCGCGUGCGCGCCGACCGGGCACGGCCGUGGGCAGCUCGGGGAGCCCACGCGGCCCCGACACCCGCGGGCGACGCGCUGGCUCCUCCGGCAUCCGCCUGCAGGGGGCGCGGCGCUCGCGGGCCCGCGGCCUCGGAUGCAGAGGAGGAGCUGAGAGGCAGGCGCGUAAGCGGGUUCCGCCGCGCGUCUCCCGAAGGUCGCUCGGAACCUGGAGGCUGGUGAGCGCCUGCAGGACGGGGACGGCGUUUUUCCACUUGUCACCAGCUAGUCCGCUCUCGGGUCCCGCAGCCGGAGGGGGCUGGGAGCCGGCCGGGAGAGGUCACCUCCCGGCCGGUGGGCUUUUCCUGCCUGCUUGGAGCUCGGGGAGGGGAGGGGAGCUUUUCUUCUCUGGCGCACGGCCGCGCUGGACUUCGGAAAGUUUCCUACCACCUGGGGACGGAGGAGGACGAAGUGCGAGCCUGCUUCCAGGCUGGGACGAACCGAAAAUACAGAAGUGUCGCUGGCCAGCCGCACUCCGGCGUCCCCAGCAAUCACCCCCUUCCCUGGCCGAGCGGCCCCAGGGAGACCUGGGAGUGCGGCCGCCCGCCUGGUGGGCCCUGCGCCACCACGAACCGGGACAGCCCGCCCUGCAGCUUCGCUAG
RNAcentral lists this long non-coding RNA (1158 nucleotides) under Sus scrofa (pig). RNAcentral's name for it is "lncRNA (ENSSSCG00070027946.1)". The record is from RNAcentral. Lineage: Eukaryota; Metazoa; Chordata; Mammalia; Artiodactyla; Suidae.